AGAGUUUGAUCAUGGCUCAGAGCGAACGCUGGCGGCAGGCUUAACACAUGCAAGUCGAGCGCCUGUAGCAAUACAGGAGCGGCAGACGGGAGAGUAACACGUGGGAACAUGCCCUUCGGUUCGGAAUAACUCAGGGAAACUUGAGCUAAUACCGGAUACGUCCGUAAGGAGAAAGAUUUAUUGCCGAAGGAUUGGCCCGCGUCCGAUUAGCUAGUUGGUGAGGUAACGGCUCACCAAGGCGACGAUCGGUAGCUGGUCUGAGAGGAUGAUCAGCCUCAUUGGGACUGAGACACGGCCCAAACUCCUACGGGAGGCAGCAGUGGGGAAUAUUGGACAAUGGGCGCAAGCCUGAUCCAGCCAUGCCGCGUGGGUGAUGAAGGCCUUAGGGUUGUAAAGCCCUUUCGGCGGGGAAGAUAAUGACGGUACCCGCAGAAGAAGCCCCGGCUAACUUCGUGCCAGCAGCCGCGGUAAUACGAAGGGGGCUAGCGUUGCUCGGAAUCACUGGGCGUAAAGCGCACGUAGGCGGACUCUUAAGUCGGUGGUGAAAUCCUGGAGCUCAACUCCAGAACUGCCUUCGAUACUGGGAGUCUUCGAGUCCGGGAGAGGUGAGUGGAACUGCGAGUGUAGAGGUGAAAUUCGUAGAUAUUCGCAAGAACACCAGUGGCGAAGGCGGCUCACUGGCCCGGUACUGACGCUGAGGUGCGAAAGCGUGGGGAGCAAACAGGAUUAGAUACCCUAGUAGUCC
This 745-nucleotide ribosomal RNA is filed under the name uncultured bacterium. RNAcentral's name for it is "bacterial SSU rRNA". It matches the Rfam family "Bacterial small subunit ribosomal RNA", at positions 8 to 796 of the family's 1533-position model. The record is from RNAcentral.